Molecule: unclassified non-coding RNA, 272 nt
Filed under: uncultured fungus
Lineage: Eukaryota; Fungi
Description: partial contains small subunit ribosomal RNA, internal transcribed spacer 1, and 5.8S ribosomal RNA
Rfam family: Eukaryotic small subunit ribosomal RNA (bases 1-73)
Source: RNAcentral
GCAAACUUGGUCAUUUAGAGGAAGUAAAAGUCGUAACAAGGUCUCCGUUGGUGAACCAGCGGAGGGAUCAUUACAGAGUCUCGUACUCCCUAAAACCACUGUGAACCUACCACUGUUGCUUCGGCGUCAUCCCGGCCGUGACCCCCCGAGGGUCCGGACGGCGGCGCCGGGGACCCCCAAACCCGUAUCUUCUGAGAAUCCUCUGAACCUAGCAAGCAAAUAAAACUUUCAGCGACGGAUCUCUUGGCUCUGGCAUCGAUGAAGAACGCAGC